This 823-nucleotide long non-coding RNA is filed under the name Homo sapiens (human). RNAcentral describes it as "TSPEAR antisense RNA 1". The record is from RNAcentral. Lineage: Eukaryota; Metazoa; Chordata; Mammalia; Primates; Hominidae.
AACUUUCCUUAUGGUCAUCUUUGGGUGGAGCCACCACUUCCAGUUCUGAUCUUCUCAUUCUGGUUGAGUACCUGGGCUUGCCAGUGCACCCCCCAGGAACACCGCCUAGUCCAGGGCUCCCACAGGUCUCAGACUGACAGGAGACUGGGUCAUAUGACCAGCACUAGCCAAUGAGCUGUGAGUACACGUGACACAGGGACAAGCUGGGUCAUGUGACUGGCACUAGCCAAUGAGCUGUGAGGACGUGAGCACAGGUCCAGCUAGGCUGGGUCAUAUGACAAGCAUUAGCCAAUGAGCUGUGAGGACACGUGAGUACAGGUCCAGCUAGGCUGGGACAUGUGACUGGCACUGGCCCAUGGGCUGUGAGCACAGGUCAGGUCAGCCCCUUCCUGCUGCUUCCCACCGUGUGUGCUCCUUGUCUGACUUGAUAUGAGAACUAACCCAAUAUGGCAGGAAGCCACUGACAUGUGGGAGCCGUGCAUGGCAGUGGCCAGCGUCCUUGUCCUGCGGGGGCUCUGUGGACAUCACUCGCCUUCAGAACACUGAGCCCUCCUACCUCCUGAUAUCCAGGGCUGCCGAUGGGAAAUCCCAGGCUGCCGCGGCUCCUGUGUGCUUUGAAGUUUUCAGGAUUUUUGUCAAACAUCCGGGGACCCUUAGCUGGAGAGGAUGGCAUGGGUGACACGCAGCUGGCCAGGGUGCGCGACUCUGCUCUCAAGACCCCCUGGAGGCCCGCCCCCUGCCCCCCACCAGCUCAUUCGUUAGAUGAUUGGAAGUGACUGCCUACGUCUUCUUUCAGGAUAAAGCCUCAAGUCCUGCAACUAUU